GAUGAACGCUAGCGAUAGGCUUAACACAUGCAAGUCGAGGGGCAGCAUGGUCUUAGCUUGCUAAGACUGAUGGCGACCGGCGCACGGGUGCGUAACGCGUAUGCAACUUGCCUCACAGAGGGGGAUAACCCGUCGAAAGACGGACUAAUACCGCGUACACUCCAUCUUGGGCAUCCAAGGUAGAGGAAAUGAAAUUCGCUGUGAGAUAGGCAUGCGUCCCAUUAGCUAGUUGGUGAGGUAACGGCUCACCAAGGCGACGAUGGGUAGGGGAACUGAGAGGUUGAACCCCCACACUGGUACUGAGACACGGACCAGACUCCUACGGGAGGCAGCAGUGAGGAAUAUUGGUCAAUGGGCGAGAGCCUGAACCAGCCAAGUCGCGUGAAGGAUGACUGUCUUAUGGAUUGUAAACUUCUUUUAUACGGGAAUAACAAGAGUCACGUGUGACUCCCUGCAUGUACCGUAUGAAUAAGCAUCGGCCAACUCCGUG
Molecule: ribosomal RNA, 490 nt
Filed under: uncultured bacterium
Lineage: Bacteria
Description: partial 16S ribosomal RNA
Rfam family: Bacterial small subunit ribosomal RNA
Source: RNAcentral